CAGCAGCAGCCGCGGUAAUACGGAGGGAGCUAGCGUUGUUCGGAAUUACUGGGCGUAAAGCGCGCGUAGGCGGUUACUCAAGUCAGAGGUGAAAGCCCGGGGCUCAACCCCGGAACUGCCUUUGAAACUAGGUGACUAGAAUCUUGGAGAGGUCAGUGGAAUUCCGAGUGUAGAGGUGAAAUUCGUAGAUAUUCGGAAGAACACCAGUGGCGAAGGCGACUGACUGGACAAGUAUUGACGCUGAGGUGCGAAAGCGUGGGGAGCAAACAGGAUUAGAUACCCCUGUAGUCCCUGUCUCUUAUAU
RNAcentral lists this ribosomal RNA (304 nucleotides) under uncultured bacterium. RNAcentral describes it as "partial 16S ribosomal RNA". It matches the Rfam family "Bacterial small subunit ribosomal RNA", at positions 506 to 809 of the family's 1533-position model. The record is from RNAcentral.